This 822-nucleotide long non-coding RNA is filed under the name Mytilus galloprovincialis (Mediterranean mussel). Lineage: Eukaryota; Metazoa; Mollusca; Bivalvia; Mytilida; Mytilidae. The record is from RNAcentral.
UUUUUGGGGGUUUCGUAUUGUUUAUUCUUUAGUUUUCUAUGUUGUGUCAUGUGUGCUGUUUUUUUUUUUGUGGUUUUCAUUUUUAGCCAUGGCGUUGUCAGUUUGUUUUAGAUUUAUGAGUUUGACUGUCCCUUUGGUAUCUUUCGUCCCUCUUCUAUCAGUCGAUAGUAAAACCAUACUUUAGGGCCCUCCAUUUAGAAAAGGUAUAUAUAUAAUGUUCAAAUUGGUCAGUUAAAUCCAAUUCAUCAAGUUGGAAGAAUGGCAGGUUUUCUGCAUGCAAACGAAUAAUUGCAAGAACUCUUUGAGUAGUCCGUAGUUGGUAUGUUUUCCCCAUGGUGGUCUUAAUAUCUGUCACAUGAAAUCGAGUCGACUUCACUUUGGUUCCCCGUCAUUUUGGAAUUAUUGCAAAGGUUUUGUUCAGAAUAAGCAUAAACUAUGUUGAUUUUGCAUUUAGCAAAGAACACAACAAUCAAUCAACCUUUAAGUAUGAUAUAUGUUUUUUCUCGUUUCUCUUCUGUGGUAGUAUCUUGUGCUUAUUGCUGUCAAACUGUUAAGAUUCACAAUACUUGGUUUAAAGAGUCAUAUUAACUUAGAUAUAUUUUUAUAACAAUUAUAUCGUCUUUAGCUUUUUCUCUUCGCUAUAGUUUUAUAUCAUAUAGAGAUUUUGACUCUUUAUUUGAUUUUUAUUUAGAUAUUUUAGAACUUUUUCUCAAGUUUAACUAUGACCUUAACGUAAACCCUAUUAUACUGCCAUGCACCGGUUGAAUUGUUAUCAAACGUUGAAUGAAUUUCUAGUUAAUUUGAAAUUUGACAUCAUUUCCC